This is a non-coding RNA of Camellia sinensis, 873 nucleotides long. Lineage: Eukaryota; Viridiplantae; Streptophyta; Magnoliopsida; Ericales; Theaceae. The record is from RefSeq and is a predicted model, not a curated record.
GAAGGCCGCUUGCUUGAAGAGGCUAAGUUUAUUAAUCUUUCUCUUACUUCCCUGGGGAAAUGCAUAAAUGCAUUGGCAGAAAACAGUCCUCACAUUCCUAUUAGAGAUUCUAAACUAAUGAGGCUGCUUCGUGAUUCAUUUGGAGGCUCUGCGAAGACAUCACUUAUUGUAACAAUUGGGCCGUCUUCUCGACAUCAUGCUGAAACCUCAAGCACCAUAAUGUUUGGACAACGGGCCAUGAAAGUUGUAAACGUGUUAAAGCUUAAGGAAGAAUUUGAUUAUUACAGUUUUUGUUGGAAGCUUGAGAAUUAGGUGGAGCAUCUAACUGUGGCGAUUGAUAGACAACAAAAGUUGAGGGACAAUGACAGAGUUGAAAUGGAAAAAAACCUCAGAGUGUCAAAAAUCAUUUGCUGAAGCUGAAAAGAGUUUAGUUACAAGGUCUGACGUAGUUGUCGCUCCUGCUGGUAUAUGUUUUAGAGUUUGGAUUUGAUGAUAUUAUGGCUGUGUUUCAGUUCACACUUUCCAACUCCCAGCUUAUUCAUUUUAUUUGGAGCUAUUGGUGCUCUAGUUUUGUCCUUUUUAGGUGUGUGUGCGCGCGCGUGCGUGUAUGCAUGCGUGUGCGUAUGGCAAUAUGUUCUGUUCACCAGCAUUCUUUGUUUAUUUUUCAAAUUACUUUCUCUAAAUAUGUUGCACUUGUUUGUAGUUUCUAGCAAAAGAGAAUGGUCACCUGGAAAUAAAGAUGAAGGGUAUAUUAGAUGAACUGAAGCGUCUAAAAGAUCAUAAUGAUUUUAUGCAUGAUGAAAUUGAACGCUUAGAAAUGAGUCUAAAACACAGCAAGGUAUAUGAAACACACAGUUUCUUGUUUUUCUUAUC